UACGGGGGGUGCAAACGUUGCUCGGAAUUAUUGGGCGUAAAGCGCACGUAGGCGGUCCUCUAAGUCGGGUGUGAAAGCCCGGGGCUUAACCCCGGAAGUGCACUCGAAACUGGAGGGCUUGAGUAUGGAAGAGGGUCUCGGAAUUCCCGGUGUAGCGGUGAAAUGCGCAGAUAUCGGGAGGAACACCAAUGGCGAAGGCAGCUCGCUGGGACGUGACUGACGCUGAGACGCGAAAGCGUGGGGAGCAAACAGG
Molecule: ribosomal RNA, 253 nt
Filed under: uncultured bacterium
Lineage: Bacteria
Description: partial 16S ribosomal RNA
Rfam family: Bacterial small subunit ribosomal RNA
Source: RNAcentral